This 292-nucleotide ribosomal RNA is filed under the name uncultured microorganism. RNAcentral describes it as "partial 16S ribosomal RNA". It matches the Rfam family "Bacterial small subunit ribosomal RNA", at positions 505 to 796 of the family's 1533-position model. The record is from RNAcentral.
GUGCCAGCAGCCGCGGUAAUACGUAGGUGGCAAGCGUUGUCCGGAAUUAUUGGGCGUAAAGCGCGCGCAGGCGGUCCUUUAAGUCUGAUGUGAAAGCCCACGGCUCAACCGUGGAGGGUCAUUGGAAACUGGGGGACUUGAGUGCAGAAGAGGAAAGCGGAAUUCCACGUGUAGCGGUGAAAUGCGUAGAGAUGUGGAGGAACACCAGUGGCGAAGCGGCUUUCUGGUCUGUAACUGACGCUGAGGCGCGAAAGCGUGGGGAGCAAACAGGAUUAGAUACCCUGGUAGGUCC